UACGGAAGGCAGCAGUGGGGAAUAUUGCACAAUGGGCGAAAGCCUGAUGCAGCUAUGCCGCGUGUAUGAAGAAGGCCUUAGGGUUGUAAAGUACUUUCAUCGGGGAGGAAAAAACAAAACUAAUAAUUUUAUUUCUUGACGUUACCCGAAAAAGAAGCACCGGCUAACUCCGUGCCAGCAGCCGCGGUAAUACGGAGGGUGCUAGCGUUAAUCAGAAUUACUGGGCGUAAAGAGCACGUAGGUGGUUUUUUUAAGUCAGAUGUGAAAUCCCUGGGCUUAACCCAGGAACUGCAUUUUGAAACUGAAAUACUAGAGUAUCGUAGAGGGAGGUAGAAUUCUAGGUGUAGCGGUGAAAUGCGUAGAUAUCUGGAGGAAUACCUGUGGCGAAAGCGGCCUCCUAAACGAAUACUGACACUGAGGUGCGAAAGCGUGGGGAGCAAACAGGGAUUAGAUACC
RNAcentral lists this ribosomal RNA (456 nucleotides) under uncultured bacterium. RNAcentral describes it as "bacterial SSU rRNA". It matches the Rfam family "Bacterial small subunit ribosomal RNA", at positions 340 to 786 of the family's 1533-position model. The record is from RNAcentral.